GAUGAACGCUGGCGGCGUGCUUAACACAUGCAAGUCGAACGAAGCACUUUAUUUGAUUUCCUUCGGGACUGAUUAUUUUGUGACUGAGUGGCGGACGGGUGAGUAACGCGUGGGUAACCUGCCUUGUACAGGGGGAUAACAGUUGGAAACGGCUGCUAAUACCGCAUAAGCGCACAGCAUCGCAUGAUGCAGUGUGAAAAACUCCGGUGGUAUAAGAUGGACCCGCGUUGGAUUAGCUAGUUGGUGAGGUAACGGCCAACCAAGGCGACGAUCCAUAGCCGAGUGGAGAGGGUGCCAGACCACAUUGGGACUGAGACACAGCCCAAACUCCUACGGGAGGGAGCAGAGGGGAAUAUAGCACAAGGGGCGAAAGUCUGAUGCAGCGACGCCGCGUGAGCGAAGAAGUAUGUCGGUAUGUAAAGCUCUAUCAGCAGGGAAGAGAAUGACGGUACCUGACGAAGAAGCACCGGCUAAAUACGUG
Molecule: ribosomal RNA, 481 nt
Filed under: uncultured bacterium
Lineage: Bacteria
Description: partial 16S ribosomal RNA
Rfam family: Bacterial small subunit ribosomal RNA
Source: RNAcentral